RNAcentral lists this ribosomal RNA (775 nucleotides) under uncultured Neocallimastigales. RNAcentral describes it as "partial large subunit ribosomal RNA". It matches the Rfam family "Eukaryotic large subunit ribosomal RNA", at positions 23 to 645 of the family's 3401-position model. The record is from RNAcentral. Lineage: Eukaryota; Fungi; Neocallimastigomycota; Neocallimastigomycetes; Neocallimastigales.
AGAGAGAGACAUGCGCGCAUAUCAAUAAGCGGAGGAAAGGAAACUAACAAGGAUUCCCUUAGUAACGGCGAGUGAGGCGGGAAGAGCUCAAAUUUGAAAUCUUCAAGGUUUUACCUUGACGAAUUGUAGUUUAAAGAAGUGUUUUCUGUUGAAGUUUUGGUAAAAGUUCUUUGGAAUAGGACAUCAUAGAGGGUGAGAAUCCCGUAUUUGACCAUUAUUUUCAGCUUUGUGAUACACUUUCAAAGAGUCGGAUUGUUUGGGAAUGCAGUCCAAAAUGGGUGGUAAAUUUCAUCUAAAGCUAAAUAUUGGCGAGAGACCGAUAGCGAACAAGUACCGUGAGGGAAAGAUGAAAAGAACUUUGAAAAGAGAGUUAAACAGUACGUGAAAUUGUCAAAAGGGAAGCGUUUGACACCAGUGUUGUUUUCUCGAAAAUCAAUUAAAAAUGGCUCGAUUUUGUAUUGCUUGAGACCUUAAAAGCUCACUGUACAUUUUUCGUGUCUUUUUUAAUGCACUUUUCGUUUAACAAGUCAACAUCAGUUUCUUUUGUUGUAAAAGGGUCAUUGGAAGGUGGCUUUCUUUUCGGAGAAAGUGUUUAUAGCCUUUGGCCUCUGCAAUCGGAGAGACUGAGGUCUGCAGCGUAGACUCUUCGGGGUUAGAUACAUUUGUGCUAAGUUAUAGCUUUUUAUAGACAACUUGUUGACUAUAAUUAGUCUUGUAGCUUACUCGCUUAUGCUAUUUUACCUACGCUUAGGAUGUUGAAGUCAUCGUAUCGCGC